UAAAAAUACAGAAUUAAAAAGUGAAAGUACAUAUUAAAGAUUGAUCAAUAGAACUCUUGUACUUUAAACACACGAAUUGAAACCAAACUGUGUAUACGAUUUAGCUUUAGUCAAUUGGAUCAAAUUGGUUUUCUGGAUACGGGCCGAGUGGUGCAAAUGAGGCCCAGUUAGCUUCACGAUCAUCUGCUAUGCGUUUUGACGAUCACACUCUUGUGUGAUUCUUAGGUCACGAGAAAGUAAGAGAUUCCCUCUACAACUGCUACCGUGCGUCUUUCUUCCUCUCAAACUUAAAACCUGCAAAAGUACCAAACUAUUAGCAACAAGAUCUGAGAAAUACACAUAGAUCCAAGCUUAAUCUGACCUUAAUAUGCUACACAAACACACAUAAGAACAUCAAUCGAGACUCUCCCAUAUAAACGAAGUCAAAGAAAAUCAAGCGAAGGUAUCAAGCUCUCGUGGGAUUCCAAACUCGAAACUAAUUUGAUACUCGAUUCAAUUAAAGUAUUGGAUAAAAAAAUUUCAGGCCACACAAAGAAGACUUGUUAGCCAAAUUCCCAAUGAAAUGCUAAAUUACAUAC
Molecule: long non-coding RNA, 578 nt
Filed under: Arabidopsis lyrata
Lineage: Eukaryota; Viridiplantae; Streptophyta; Magnoliopsida; Brassicales; Brassicaceae
Description: long non-coding RNA (ALYR_LNC001045)
Source: RNAcentral